GGGUUGUGAGGUUAAGCGACUAAGCGUACACGGUGGAUGCCCUGGCAGUCAGAGGCGAUGAAGGACGUGCUAAUCUGCGAUAAGCGUCGGUAAGGUGAUAUGAACCGUUAUAACCGGCGAUUUCCGAAUGGGGAAACCCAGUGUGAUUCGUCACACUAUCAUUAACUGAAUCCAUAGGUUAAUGAGGCGAACCGGGGGAACUGAAACAUCUAAGUACCCCGAGGAAAAGAAAUCAACCGAGAUUCCCCCAGUAGCGGCGAGCGAACGGGGAGCAGCCCAGAGCCUGAAUCAGUGUGUGUGUUAGUGGAAGUGUCUGGAAAGGCGCGCGAUACAGGGUGACAGCCCCGUACACAAAAAUGCACAUGCUGUGAGCUCGAUGAGUAGGGCGGGACACGUGGUAUCCUGUCUGAAUAUGGGGGGACCAUCCUCCAAGGCUAAAUACUCCUGACUGACCGAUAGUGAACCAGUACCGUGAGGGAAAGGCGAAAAGAACCCCGGCGAGGGGAGUGAAAAAGAACCUGAAACCGUGUACGUACAAGCAGUGGGAGCACGCUUAGGCGUGUGACUGCGUACCUUUUGUAUAAUGGGUCAGCGACUUAUAUUCUGUAGCAAGGUUAACCGAAUAGGGGAGCCGAAGGGAAACCGAGUCUUAACUGGGCGUUAAGUUGCAGGGUAUAGACCCGAAACCCGGUGAUCUAGCCAUGGGCAGGUUGAAGGUUGGGUAACACUAACUGGAGGACCGAACCGACUAAUGUUGAAAAAUUAGCGGAUGACUUGUGGCUGGGGGUGAAAGGCCAAUCAAACCGGGAGAUAGCUGGUUCUCCCCGAAAGCUAUUUAGGUAGCGCCUCGUGAAUUCAUCUCCGGGGGUAGAGCACUGUUUCGGCAAGGGGGUCAUCCCGACUUACCAACCCGAUGCAAACUGCGAAUACCGGAGAAUGUUAUCACGGGAGACACACGGCGGGUGCUAACGUCCGUCGUGAAGAGGGAAACAACCCAGACCGCCAGCUAAGGUCCCAAAGUCAUGGUUAAGUGGGAAACGAUGUGGGAAGGCCCAGACAGCCAGGAUGUUGGCUUAGAAGCAGCCAUCAUUUAAAGAAAGCGUAAUAGCUCACUGGUCGAGUCGGCCUGCGCGGAAGAUGUAACGGGGCUAAACCAUGCAC
Molecule: ribosomal RNA, 1161 nt
Filed under: Escherichia coli
Lineage: Bacteria; Pseudomonadati; Pseudomonadota; Gammaproteobacteria; Enterobacterales; Enterobacteriaceae
Description: partial 23S ribosomal RNA
Rfam family: Bacterial large subunit ribosomal RNA
Source: RNAcentral